GACGAACGCUGGCGGCGUGCCUAAUACAUGCAAGUAGAACGCUGAAGAGAGGAGCUUGCUCUUCUUGGAUGAGUUGCGAACGGGUGAGUAACGCGUAGGUAACCUGCCUUGUAGCGGGGGAUAACUAUUGGAAACGAUAGCUAAUACCGCAUAACAAUGGAUGACACAUGUCUUUUAUUUGAAAGGGGCAUUUGCUCCACUACAAGAGGGACUUGCGUUGUAUUAGCUAGUAGGUGAGGUAAUGGCUCACCUAGGCGACGAUACAUAGCCGACCUGAGAGGGUGAUCGGCCACACUGGGACUGAGACACGGCCCAGACUCCUACGGGAGGCAGCAGUAGGGAAUCUUCGGCAAUGGGGGCAACCCUGACCGAGCAACGCCGCGUGAGUGAAGAAGGUUUUCGGAUCGUAAAGUUCUGUUGUAAGUCAAGAACGGGUGUGAGAGUGGAAAGUUCACACUGUGACGGUAGCUUACCAGAAAGGGACGGCUAACUACGUG
RNAcentral lists this ribosomal RNA (497 nucleotides) under uncultured bacterium. Its description in RNAcentral is "partial 16S ribosomal RNA". It matches the Rfam family "Bacterial small subunit ribosomal RNA", at positions 28 to 507 of the family's 1533-position model. The record is from RNAcentral.